Molecule: ribosomal RNA, 849 nt
Filed under: uncultured archaeon
Lineage: Archaea
Description: bacterial SSU rRNA
Rfam family: Archaeal small subunit ribosomal RNA
Source: RNAcentral
AGCAAUGUGUGGCAUACGGCUCAGUAACACGUAGUCAACAUGCCCAGGGGACGUGGAUAACCUCGGGAAACUGAGGAUAAACCGCGAUAGGUCACUACUUCUGGAAUGGGUAAUGACCCAAACCUAUAUGGCCCCUGGAUUGGACUGCGGCCGAUCAGGCUGUUGGUGAGGUAAUGGCCCACCAAACCUGUAACCGGUACGGGCUCUGAGAGGAGGAGCCCGGAGAUGGGCACUGAGACAAGGGCCCAGGCCCUAUGGGGCGCAGCAGGCGCGAAACCUCUGCAAUAGGCGAAAGCUUGACAGGGUUACUCUGAGUGAUUUCCGUUAAGGAGAUCUUUUGGCACCUCUAAAAAUGGUGCAGAAUAAGGGGUGGGCAAGUCUGGUGUCAGCCGCCGCGGUAAUACCAGCACCCCGAGUGGUCGGGACGUUUAUUGGGCCUAAAGCAUCCGUAGCCGGUUCCACAAGUCUUCCGUUAAAUCCACCUGCUCAACAGAUGGGCUGCGGAAGAUACUAUGGAGCUAGGAGGCGGGAGAGGCAAGCGGUACUCGAUGGGUAGGGGUAAAAUCCGUUGAUCCAUUGAAGACCACCAGUGGCGAAGGCGGCUUGCCAGAACGCGCUCGACGGUGAGGGAUGAAAGCUGGGGGAGCAAACCGGAUUAGAUACCCGGGUAGUCCCAGCUGUAAACGAUGCAGACUCGGUGAUGAGUUGGCUUUAUGCCAACUCAGUGCCGCAGGGAAGCCGUUAAGUUUGCCGCCUGGGGAGUACGGUCGCAAGACUGAAACUUAAAGGAAUUGGCGGGGGAGCACCACAAGGGGUGAAGCCUGCGGUUCAAUUGGAUUCAACGCCCGG